This 292-nucleotide ribosomal RNA is filed under the name Paramecium caudatum. Its description in RNAcentral is "large subunit ribosomal RNA". Lineage: Eukaryota; Ciliophora; Oligohymenophorea; Peniculida; Parameciidae. The record is from RNAcentral.
UUUAUGUUCAGUCUAUAAAGCACUAGAUGGAUGCCUAUAAACUGUGGUUGAAGAUGUAAAUAUAAAUACAAAAUUUGUGUGUAAGCUUUAGUUUGAUAUAUAAAAAUGCUUUUAAUACACAAUUCUCUUUAAAGAUUUUAUGAAGCGAAACAUCGUAGUAAUAAAUAUAAAAAAUAAGUCAAUAGAGAUGUUAAAGUAACGGUGAGUGAAAGAAAGUAGCUAUAAAACUAAAUAAAAGACUUGAAUAAUUUGGAAAAGUUAACUAAAGAAGGUGAUAGUCCUGUAAGGUUUU